UACGUAGGGUGCAAGCGUUAUCCGGAAUUAUUAGGCGUAAAGGGCGCGUAGGCGGUCGUGACGAGUCACUUGUGAAAUCUCCGGGCUUAACUCGGAACGGUCAAGUGAUACUGUCGGACUAGAGUACAGAAGGGGCAACUGGAAUUCUCGGUGUAGCGGUGAAAUGCGUAGAUAUCGAGAGGAACACCUGCGGCGAAGGCGGGUUGCUGGGCUGAUACUGACGCUGAGGCGCGAAAGCCAGGGGAGCGAACGGG
Molecule: ribosomal RNA, 254 nt
Filed under: uncultured bacterium
Lineage: Bacteria
Description: partial 16S ribosomal RNA
Rfam family: Bacterial small subunit ribosomal RNA
Source: RNAcentral